AGAGUUUCAUUCUGGCUCAGGGCUAACGCUGGCGGCGUGUCUUAGACAUGCAAGUCGAACGGACUUUUUCUUUGUAGCAAUACUUGGAAAAAGUUAGUGGCGAACGGGUGAGUAAUACUGGGGUAAUCUACCUCGGAGCGGGGCACAACUCAGAGAAAUCUGGGCUAAUUCCCCGUACGCUCUUUUGCACAUAAGUGCGAAAGAGGAAAGGUGGCCUCUACUUGUAAGCUAUCGCUCCGGGAUGAGCUCCUGCCCUAUCAGCUUGUUGGUGAGGUAACUGCCCACCAAGGCUUUGACGGGUAGCCGGCCUGAGAGGGCGAUCGGCCACACGGGCACUGCGACACGGGCCCGACUCCUACGGGAGGCAGCAGUCUAGAAAAUUGGGCAAUGGGCGAAAGCCUGACCCAGCGACGCCGCGUGCGGGAUGAAGUCUUUCGGGAUGUAAACCGCUGUCAGGGUGGACGAUGACAUUCGUGGCUAAUAUCCACGAGUGUUGACGGUACUCCCAAAGGAAGCACCGGCUAACUACGUGCCAGCAGCCGCGGUGAUACGUAGGGUGCAAGCGUUGCUCGGAUUCACUGGGCGUAAAGGGUGCGUAGGCGGAUUGGUAAGUCGAUUGUGAAAUCUCUAGGCUUAACCUGGAAACUGCGGUCGAUACUGCCGGUCUGGAGGACAGAAGAGGAGAGCGGAACUCCUGGUGUAGCGGUAAAAUGCGUGGAUAUCAGGAGGAACGCCUAAGGCGAAAGUAGCUCUCUGGUAUGUUCCUGACGCUGAAGCACGAAAGCUAAGGUAGCAAACCGGAUUAGAUACCCGGGUAGUC
This 820-nucleotide ribosomal RNA is filed under the name uncultured bacterium. RNAcentral describes it as "bacterial SSU rRNA". It matches the Rfam family "Bacterial small subunit ribosomal RNA", at positions 8 to 795 of the family's 1533-position model. The record is from RNAcentral.